CAGCCAGCCUUUUACUGGUACAAUUUGCCCUUCUCUCCCCCCAAAACCCUUCCCAGGUCUGACAUUAAUCACCUACAAGCUCGUUUAAAACCCUCUCUAAAUUUAAGAGGAUAAGCACUGCCAGUCUCCUCUUGCUGGCAGGCAGCCAGCUUGCAGCGACUGCUGGAAUUAACGUCCCGGGAUGCACGCAGAAGGGAAAAGAAAAGCAGCCAGGAAGCCUCUCCAUCCUCUCCGUCCAUGAGCAGGAGAGCAAACUGCUCGUGCCAGAAGAGGUCAGAUCAUUUCUCGUCACUGCCCUGGGCUCAGCCCAACAGCAAUUUUGGGCUCCUUCCCGAGGCAGCAGAGCUCAGGGCAGCCAAAACACCCGGGCUGGCUCAGAGCAGCACAAAUGCAAAGGCGGCGGCGACCUUGGAUCUUCAUCCCGCAGCAGAUCUGUACUGCCACAUCUCGCUGCAGUUGGUGAGGCUGAAGCUGGCUGUGCUGUGCCUACCUGUUCUGCAGCCUUUCCUCCAGUUAUUUCUUCCCUCCUCCUUCCACACUGAUCACUCCACACGCCACGUGCUUACCUAGCUCAGCUUGCUCAGGCAUCUUUGCAAGCCCACACUUUAAAAAAAAUAAAAAAAAAAAAUCCCUUUUGCCAGGUCUUCUACAGGAAGUAAUUUAACUCACCAGCAACCUGACGAGGUCCUGCUGCUCUGGUGCUGGCAAAACUCCGGGGCCUACCUCAGACUUCUGGACAGACCUGCAGGUACUGCAGUGCUUAAAGGAAGGUGCUUCCUCCUCAGGCGUUCAGCAAAGUAAGAAAGAGCAUUUGAGUCAACAGGAAACGGUGACGCCAAAGCCUCUGCAGCAGCGGCGGCCGCAUGAGGAAAUCACAUUGCACCAUUUCUGCACUGGGAUCGAGGCGAAUAAAGCCACAGAACAAUUGUUACUGCAAAUAAAGAAACACUGGGAGGAAACACAACGUCCAUGGCAUCAGGUGGGCCCAUUUCGGGGCUGGCCUACAUCUCGAGAUCAGCCCUGACAACUGCAGUGAGAGACAAGCGGUUGUUCAUCUUGUUUGUUUGUUUGUUAAUUUAUUUGUUUGUUAAUUAAUUUGUUUGUUUAAAUGUGAGUUUGCCGUGUCUAUUUGCCUGCUAGCAGGGCAGGGACCCCUAAAAGCACACACUAUGUCCUGAGACCAGUCCAGGUGGUGGUUACCACCCCUACCAAACACAAGCACUCACCAAGCUCCGGUUCAAGCACGGGUUUAGCCCUUUGUCCUCCCCAGCUCCACUAGGAAGCUGUUUUGAGUCCUCAUACCAUUCCUCCUCAGCACCACAGCAGGGGGAAAUCCAGGUUUAACUAAGAGACCAUCCCUUCCCUCCCCAUACCCAAAAAAGGCCAGCGCAAAGGCAAGUUUCUACCCACUUCCAGCUAAGAGUCAGAGCCGAUGCCCAUGUGUAAGCCACAUGAGACCAGUGUCACACCAAAGACCUCUGAAAACAACCAGGGUGAGAGCCUCACCUCCUUUCACACCACGUAAAUGUGGCAGGGCAGCACCAUCACCCCAGUUCAAGAAGUGUGGAGGGAGAAGGAGGGGAAGAGACGUAUUUCCUAUGUGCAGACAGAGAAGAACAUAACGAGGCUGCUGUGCCACGGACAGCAUGGAAGAUGGAAAGGAAUUCUCUCAAGAGAGGUGUUGGUGGAGGAAUUUUACAGAAGCCUCAUCUGUAGCUGACCACUGCUGUCGAAGGCAGCAUCUUGAGAUGAGACUUGGUCCAAUGUGGUUUAGAGAAAUGGUCCAGUUUUUCAAAAAAAUUCGUCUGGCUCUGGAAUUCUGCUAUGCUUGCACUUCAUCCUUUUGGAAGCAAUUCAUGCACACAACUCCUUAGAAAAUCAGCUUUGGGCUUGAUCUGAGUUCACUGAAGCCAAAGGGUUUCCCCAAGAAAACAGUCAUUUUUCACUGUUUUGGCAGUUUAAGCUCUGCAGAGCGGAAAGCAGGCUUGCAAAAUUAUCUCCGUACAGGAACAGCUGUGUCACUGCUACACAGCAAAAGUUUAUUGCUUCCAAAAACGAGUAGCAGGGCUUAGGGAGCUUGCAAGCAAAUUCUUACAAGAUAAUUACAAGAGCUGGCAGGCUCCCUCAGCGCUCCCGAUGUUCCCUUUCUCCCUUUGUGGUCCACAACCCCCACACCAAGCCAUCCGCCCUCGGAUGUCCUGAGACAAGCCACACGUCCAGCUCCGCCAGCAG
Non-coding RNA from Anas platyrhynchos (mallard), 2232 nucleotides. The record is from RefSeq and is a predicted model, not a curated record. Lineage: Eukaryota; Metazoa; Chordata; Aves; Anseriformes; Anatidae.